Molecule: ribosomal RNA, 484 nt
Filed under: uncultured bacterium
Lineage: Bacteria
Description: bacterial SSU rRNA
Rfam family: Bacterial small subunit ribosomal RNA
Source: RNAcentral
AGAGUUUGAUCAUGGCUCGAGGACGAACGCUGGCGGCGUGCCUAACACAUGCAAGUCGAACGAGGUCCAUCCUUCGGGAGAAGACCUAGUGGCGAACGGGUGAGUAACACGUGAAGAACCUGCCCCGAAGACCGGGAUAACCCUCCGAAAGGAGAGCUAAUACCGGAUACCCCCACCGAACCGCAUGGUUUGGUGAGGAAAUGGAUUCCGCUUCGGGAGGGCUUCGCGGCCUAUCAGCUAGUUGGUGGGGUAACGGCCCACCAAGGCAUCGACGGGUAGCUGGUCUGAGAGGACGAUCAGCCACACUGGGACUGAGACACGGCCCAGACUCCUACGGGAGGCAGCAGUGGGGAAUCUUGCGCAAUGGGCGAAAGCCUGACGCAGCAACGCCGCGUGGGGGAUGAAGGCUCUCGGGUUGUAAACCCCUUUCAGCAGGGACGGAAUCAAGACGGUACCUGCAGAAGAAGCCCCGGCUAACUACGUG